Molecule: long non-coding RNA, 838 nt
Organism: Vespula pensylvanica (western yellowjacket)
Lineage: Eukaryota; Metazoa; Arthropoda; Insecta; Hymenoptera; Vespidae
Exons: 2
Source: RefSeq, a predicted model, not a curated record
UUGGAUAUUCCGUCGAUUCACCCCACCACCUUACUUUCGGAACCUCCACGGUUUCGCUGUGCCGAGCUAUCUUCGUCGCUCUCUAUGGCAGUCGGUCGACAGCUACCCUCUUAACGCGCUCUACUCUAGCUAGUCCUGAUUAGGCUUACGGUAACGUGGCAACAACCAGAAUCACCGGAAACCGAUCAUUUCGUUUUCGCGGAUAAUUUACUUCCGGGUAAACACCAUGACAGAACGAAGCCAGCGUCUCUGGAUGGUCGGAAAGGGAAACACGACGAAGGGCGUGGUCACAUCAAAACUCGGAUGACGAUUUUCCGAAAACCUUUUCUCAGCUGAAUGAACGUCCUACAUGAAAGGAAGAAUUUUCAUGAAACUAGUAGUACCAGUCAACGUUUACCUUCGACAAUUACGACUUAUACAGGGUGUCUUCAUACGACUGAACAAGUUCCUCUUCCUUUUUUUCUUUUUAUUUUAUUUUGAUUAUUCGAAAAAAAAUUACAAAUACAGCGAGACAUGAUUCAAGGUUUUAUUCGAAGGGAUAUAUUUUUGUCAAUAUUUUCAAAUUAUUCAUGAAUUUGUUUUUCUGUAUACAUAUAUAUUUACUAUUUUUCACGCAACAUAAAAAUAUAGCUUUGUUUACCUUUAGAUUGAUCCGAAACGAAGACAAAUAUAACAUUUAGAAAAAAUAAUACAGACAAAAAUAAAAACAACAGCGACAACAACAAAAUCUCUACGACAUAAUAUUACACAGUUUAUUGUUAAAACUUAUUUCGAAAGAUAUUCGACGAAAUGUUUCAUUAAAAAUAUCAUGAAAAAUAUAUCAAGAUACGCUAUUGAA